Molecule: ribosomal RNA, 205 nt
Filed under: uncultured bacterium
Lineage: Bacteria
Description: partial 16S ribosomal RNA
Rfam family: Bacterial small subunit ribosomal RNA
Source: RNAcentral
CGCCUGGAGGUGGGGAGUAACUAGUCGAAAGACUAGCUAAUACCGCAUACGAUCUACGGAUGAAAGUGGGGGAUCGCAAGACCUCAUGCUCGUGGAGCGGCCGAUAUCUGAUUAGCUAGUUGGUGGGGUAAAGGCCUACCAAGGCAUCGAUCAGUAGCUGGUCUGAGAGGACGACCAGCCACACUGGGACUGAGACACGGCCCAG